Mus musculus (house mouse) is the source of this 2594-nucleotide RNA transcript. It is a transcript of the gene named serine protease 53, with no coding region annotated. The record is from RefSeq and is marked provisional. The transcript is spliced from 11 exons. NCBI's taxonomy places the organism in Eukaryota, Metazoa, Chordata, Mammalia, Rodentia, Muridae.
AACAGUCUUCCUUCCGUCCAUUUGAAGGGGCUUUACUAUUAGCCUAUGUGUAUGAGUGUUUUGUCUGCAUGUGUGUUUAUGUACUAUAUAUGACUGGUGCCUUGGGAGGGCCGAAGACAGUGUCAGAUCCCCUGGAACUGGAGUUACAGAUCAUGGUGUGAACUGCCCUAUGGGAGCUGGGAAUUAAACCAGGUCGUGCAGUUAAUUGUUGCUCCAUCUCUCCAGAAUCUCCCAGGCACCCUUAAGUAAUUAAGUUCUCCAGGUAAGGCACAAACAAUUUCAUUGUUCAAAAUCAUUGGAGGAACUAGGAUUUGAACUGGAGGAGUAUGGCUGGUAAAGAGCCAGAGAGGGGUAAGGGCCACACAACCACUGGCCCCAAGCUAAGCGCUGUUGGCUCCCUUCCAGCCCAGGAAAAGUAACACCUGACUGGAGGCGGAGCAGGGGUGGAGCCAGGGAGACCCAGGUGGCCUUUCUGACAGCCGGAGCACUGAGUGGCCUGGAGCAGCAUGAGGCAGAGCUGGAGACCAGAGCUGCUUAUUGUGGGAGCUGUGGUCGUGAUAGAGGGUCUUCAAGCAGCUCAGCGUGCAUGCGGGCAGCGUGGCCCUGGCCCUCCAGAGCCCCAGGAAGGCAACACAUUACCUGGUGAAUGGCCCUGGCAGGCCAGUGUGAGGCGACAGGGUGUACACAUCUGCAGUGGCUCCUUGGUGGCAGACACUUGGGUCCUCACAGCUGCUCACUGCUUUGAAAAGAUGGCCACAGCAGAACUGAGCUCCUGGUCCGUGGUCCUGGGUUCUCUCAAGCAGGAGGGGCAGAGCCCGGGGGCUGAGGAGGUGGGAGUUGCUGCCCUGCAGUUGCCCAAGGCCUAUAACCACUAUAGCCAGGGAUCAGAUCUGGCCCUGCUCCAGCUCACCCACCCCACCGUUCAGACAACCCUCUGCUUGCCCCAACCCACCUACCACUUCCCCUUUGGAGCUUCUUGCUGGGCCACUGGCUGGGACCAGAACACCAGUGAUGUUUCCAGAACCCUACGGAAUCUGCGCCUCCGUCUCAUCAGCCGCCCCACUUGUAACUGUCUCUACAAUCGGUUGCACCAGAGGUUGCUGUCCAACCCAGCAAGACCUGGGAUGCUCUGUGGGGGUGCACAGCCUGGGGAACAGGGGCCCUGCCAGGGAGAUUCUGGGGGACCUGUGAUGUGCCGUGAGCCUGAUGGACACUGGGUCCAGGUUGGAAUCAUUAGUUUCACAUCAAAAUGUGCCCAAGAGGACACCCCUGUGCUGUUGACUGACAUGGCAGUACACAGUUCAUGGCUGCAGGCCCAUGUUCACGAGGCAGCUUUCUUGGUGCAGGCCCCAGGAGUUGUGAAGAUGAGCGACGAGAACAGCUGUGUAGCAUGUGGCUCCUUGAGGAGUGCAGGACCCCAGGCAGGAGCGCUCUCUCAGUGGCCCUGGGAUGCCAGGCUGAAGCACCACGGGAAGCUGGCUUGUGGUGGAGCUCUGGUAUCGGAGGUGGUGGUGCUGACGGCUGCUCACUGCUUUAUCGGGCGCCAAACCCUAGAGGAAUGGAGCGUAGGACUGGGGGCUGGACCAGAGGAAUGGGGCCUGAAGCAACUCAUUCUGCACGGGGCCUACACCCACCCAGAAGGCGGCUAUGAUGUGGCCUUCCUGCUGCUGGCUCAGCCUGUGACAUUGGGCCCUGGCCUAAGGCCCCUCUGCUUGCCCUAUGCUGACCACCACCUGCCUGAUGGUGAACAUGGCUGGGUUCUUGGGCUGACCCAAAAAGCAGGCUCUGCCUUUACUUACAGGCAUCAACUACCCCCAGACAGUACCUGUGACAGUCCUGGGGCCGAUGGCCUGUAGCAGACAGCAUGCAGCUCCUGGGGGCACAGGCAUCCCCAUCCUGCCAGGGAUGGUAUGCACCACUGUCGUGGGUGAGCCCCCUCACUGUGAGGGCCUCUCUGGGGCGCCACUUGUACAUGAGAUCAGGGGCACAUGGUUCCUGGUUGGACUGCACAGCUUUGGAGACACCUGUCAAAGCUCUGCAAAGCCUGCAGUUUUUGCAGCACUCUCUGCCUACGAGGACUGGAUCAGCAAUCUAGACUGGCAGGUCUACUUCGCUGAGGAGCCAGAGCCUGAGGCUGAGACUGGAAGCUGCUUGGUCAACUCGAGCCAACCAGCCAGUUGUUGACUGGUGACUCUAGUUUACUCACAGGACGCCAGAAACGCCAGACAACUCCCACGUCAACACCCAGUUCUACACUCCUGCCCCUCCCCUCCCGGUCUUGUGGUUCCCAGCCCUGAGGCAGGUCCAACAGCUGGCUGGCUGGCUGAGAAUGAGCCUGCCCAGAGAUGCUUUUCAUGUGUGCCAUGGCCCCGCCCCCAAGUUCUGCUUUCCAACAGAGAUGUCUCCAGUAUUCCCUAGCCAAUCCUUCAGAUAUAACCACACCAGUAGCUGUUGUGAAAAAAAAAGUUGUUUUUUUUUUCCUUGGGGGUGGGGGGUUUGGGGAGCAAUUUCCUUUUUUAAAACUUAAAUUGUUACAAAAUAGAUUUUAGAAAAUAAGUUACAAACUAUAGUAAAAGGCUCCCCUGUCACAGGCA